This 859-nucleotide ribosomal RNA is filed under the name uncultured bacterium. RNAcentral's name for it is "bacterial SSU rRNA". It matches the Rfam family "Bacterial small subunit ribosomal RNA", at positions 29 to 916 of the family's 1533-position model. The record is from RNAcentral.
AUCAACGNUGGCGGCGUGCCUAACACAUGCAAGUCGAACGAGAAAGUGGAGCAAUUCCACGAGUAAAGUGGCGCACGGGUGAGUAACACGUGACUAACCUACCCUUGAGUGGGGAAUAACUGAGGGAAACCUCGGCUAAUACCGCAUAAUACCUACGGGUCAAAGGAGCAAUUCGCUUAAGGAGGGGGUCGCGGCAGAUUAGUUAGUUGGCGGGGUAAUGGCCCACCAAGACGGUGAUCUGUAUCCGGCCUGAGAGGGCGCACGGACACACUGGAACUGAAACACGGUCCAGACUCCUACGGGAGGCAGCAGUGGGGAAUUUUGCGCAAUGGGGGAAACCCUGACGCAGCAACGCCGCGUGCGGGAUGAAGGCCUUCGGGUUGUAAACCGCUUUCAGAAGGAACGAAAAUGACGGUACUUUCAGAAGAAGGUGCGGCCAACUACGUGCCAGCAGCCGCGGUGACACGUAGGCACCAAGCGUUGUCCGGAUUUAUUGGGCGUAAAGAGCUCGUAGGCGGUUCAGUAAGUCGGGUGUGAAAACUCUGGGCUCAACCCGGAGACGCCACCUGGUACUGCUGUGACUUGAGUUCGGUAGGGGAGUGGGGAAUUUCUAGUGUAGCGGUGAAAUGCGCAGAUAUUAGAAGGAACACCGGUGGCGAAGGCGCCACUCUGGGCCGAAACUGACGCUGAGGAGCGAAAGCGUGGGUAGCAAACAGGAUUAGAUACCCUGGUAGUUCACGCCGUAAACGUUGGGCACUAGGUGUGGGCCUCAACCAACGAGGUCCGCGCCGUCGCUAACGCAUUAAGUGCCCCGCCUGGGGAGUACGGCCGCAAGGUUAAAACUCAAAUGAAUUGACGG